UCGCGAAUCAUUCACAAUGGACGCAAGUCUGAUGAUGCCACGCCGCGUGCGGGAUGAAGGCCCUUUGGGUUGUAAACCGCUGUCAAGGGAGGGGAAACACCUAGCGUUAACAGCGCUAGGCUUGACUGCUCCCUAAAGGAAGCCCCGGCAAAACAUGUGCCAGCAGCCGCGGUAAUACAUGUGGGGCAAGCGUUAAUCGGAAUUACUGGGCGUAAAGCGUGCGCAGGCGGUUAUGCAAGACAGAUGUGAAAUCCCCGGGCUCAACCUGGGAACUGCAUUUGUGACUGUAUAGCUAGAGUACGGUAGAGGGGGAUGGAAUUCCGCGUGUAGCAGUGAAAUGCGUAGAUAUGCGGAGGAACACCGAUGGCGAAGGCAAUCCCCUGGACCUGUACUGACGCUCAUGCACGAAAGCGUGGGGAGCAAACAGGAUUAGAUACCCCGGUAGUCCCUGAGCGGGCUGGCAAGGCGCAU
RNAcentral lists this ribosomal RNA (471 nucleotides) under uncultured bacterium. RNAcentral's name for it is "bacterial SSU rRNA". It matches the Rfam family "Bacterial small subunit ribosomal RNA", at positions 355 to 825 of the family's 1533-position model. The record is from RNAcentral.